ACUCUGUUAUAAUAAAUACUUUAUUUGUGUAUCAAAACAAAAUUAUAAAAUAUCACAAUACAUGGAUAACUAUCAUUUAAAUAUUGCACAAUAUAUUAUGUCAUCUGUUGUCUUAUCUUAUGCGUAGGUCUUGGCACGAACACAAACAGAACAUCCAUCUCGUGUGACACAUUCCUCGUUGAAGUUGCAGCCUCGUGAAAUGCAUGUAUUUUGACAGCCUUUAUGUAAAAUUGAACCAACUUGCGAGAUACGUCCAGGAAGACUACCUGACCGAAUAGAAUCACCUACUGGCGAGAUAUUUCUAACAAGACUACCUGAUCGAAUAGAAUCACCUACUGAUGAGAUACGUCCAAGAAGACUAUCUGACCGAAUAGAAUCACCUACUGGCAAGAUAUGUCUAACAAGACUACCUGAUCGAAUAGAAUCACCUACUGACGAGGUAUGUCUAACAAGACUAUCUGACCGAAUAGAAUCUACUAAGGCAUCAUUGAAUCUACUGUCUAAGGAACCACUACGAAUGAUUUGGCCUCCUGAUAAAAAAUCUGCACUACGCUGACAAAGACUUCUGCAACCUAGCCCACCUCGGUCCAUACAUCUCUGAACGCAUCCAGCUGAAAUAAUGUCUGAUCCGACAACUGCAUUUGAUAAGAUUACUCUUCUAGGUCUGCACAUACGAUCACAUCCUUCAGUUUGGCAUUUGUAUCCAUCUAGACAUUCUGAAUGACUAGAGCAUUCAAUUUCACAAGCUUUCCCGCCUUUGGGUGAAUAUACUGUAAUAAUAA
Molecule: long non-coding RNA, 782 nt
Filed under: Mytilus galloprovincialis (Mediterranean mussel)
Lineage: Eukaryota; Metazoa; Mollusca; Bivalvia; Mytilida; Mytilidae
Source: RNAcentral